GAUGAAGAACGUAGCGAAAUGCGAUGAGUAAUGUGAAUUGCAGAAUUCAGUGAAUCAUCGAAUCUUUGAACGCACCUUGCGCUCCUUGGCAUUCCGAGGAGCAUGCCUGUUUGAGUGUCAUUAAAUUCUCAAGACCUGUCUGCUUUUUUGAUAGGUAUUGGAUUUUGGGGGUUGCAGGCUGUUUCAAAUAAAUAGCCUUGCUCUCCUUGAAUGUAUUAGUGGAGAAAAGCCAUUGAACUCCAUUGGUGUGAUAAAACCUAUCAAUGCCAGGAGCAAUAUCACUACUUCUCUCUGCUGUCUAACUGUGACUGUCUGUAUUAAUUAGUAUGGAUGGGGACAACUUGACCAACUUGACCUCAAAUCAGGUAGGACUACCCGCUGAACUUAAGCAUAUCAAUAAGCGGAGGA
Molecule: unclassified non-coding RNA, 408 nt
Filed under: soil metagenome
Description: partial contains 5.8S ribosomal RNA, internal transcribed spacer 2, and large subunit ribosomal RNA
Rfam family: 5.8S ribosomal RNA (bases 1-120)
Source: RNAcentral